UGGGGAAUUUUGGACAAUGGACGCAAGACUGAACCAGCCAUGCCGCGUGGAGGAUGAAGGCCCUCUGGGUUGUAAACUUCUUUUAUUUGGGACGAAACACUCUUUAUCUAGAGAGCUUGACGGUACCAGAUGAAUAAGCACCGGCUAACUCCGUGCCAGCAGCCGCGGUAAUACGGAGGGUGCAAGCGUUAUCCGGAUUCACUGGGUUUAAAGGGUGCGUAGGCGGAUUUGUAAGUCCGUGGUGAAAUCUCUAAGCUUAACUUGGAAAUUGCCGUGGAUACUAUAAGUCUUGAAUAUUGUGGAGGUUAGCGGAAUAUGUCAUGUAGCGGUGAUAUGCAUAGAUAUGACAUAGAACACCAAUUGCGAAGGCAGCUGGCUACGUUUGAUUUGACACUGAGGCACGAAAGCAUGGUGAGCAAACA
This 422-nucleotide ribosomal RNA is filed under the name uncultured bacterium. RNAcentral describes it as "bacterial SSU rRNA". It matches the Rfam family "Bacterial small subunit ribosomal RNA", at positions 355 to 774 of the family's 1533-position model. The record is from RNAcentral.